UCCUACGGGGGGCAGCAGUAGGGAAUUUUCGUCAAUGGGCGCAAGCCUGAACGAGCAAUGCCGCGUGAACGAGGAAGGUCUUCGGAUCGUAAAGUUCUGUUGAAGGGGAAAAAGAGCGGAGAGAGGAAAUGGUCUCCGAUUGAUAUUACCCUUCGAGGAAGUCACGGCUAACUACGUGCCAGCAGCCGCGGUAAUACGUAGGUGGCGAGCGUUAUCCGGAAUGAUUGGGCGUAAAGGGUGCGUAGGCGGCCUGCUAAGUCUGGAGUGAAAGGUACCGGCUCAACCGGUGAAGGCUCUGGAAACUG
Molecule: ribosomal RNA, 305 nt
Filed under: uncultured bacterium
Lineage: Bacteria
Description: bacterial SSU rRNA
Rfam family: Bacterial small subunit ribosomal RNA
Source: RNAcentral